UUCUGCUUCUUUUCUUAGCAGAGACUGAAAUAGCGGCUUCAUGUCGGAGCUGCAGACACAAAGAUGGAGGCUGAGAUAUGGAGGAGGAAUAUCUCGGGGGGGGAGGAAAGAAAGAGAAGUCAGGUUUUUGUGUAACGCUGUUUCACUGUGAGGACAGGGGGUUGGCCGCGGCUCAGUUUGGAGCUGGAACUAAAGUCAUCGUGUUGGAUCCUAAUCGCACCGUCACGCCCCCCGCGGUGAGAGUGUUUCCCCCCUCAGAGAGAGAGUGUGAGGACAGCUCUGAAACCAGGUGUGAAGUCGAGAGGAAGAGGAGGAGGAAGAGGAAGACGUUGGUGUGUGUGGCGUCUGGUUUCUACCCGGAUACGGUGACUCUGUCCUGGUUGGUCGACGGGUAUAAUGUGACGGAUGGCGUGGCGACCGACAGUGAUGCAUUGUGGGACGGAGAACACUUCAGCACCAGCAGCCGGCUGACGGUGCUGCUCUCUGAUUGGUUCUCCCCGGAGAGGACGUUCACCUGCAGCGUCAGCUUCUGCCGCGGGAAUCGAACCGAGGAGCGAGCACACACCGUGGGGGGGGAGGAAGGACCCGGAGCUGCAGCGCUGAGAGAGAGAUAUCUGAGGGUCUCUCACGGCGCUCGGCUGUUCUACAUUCUCCUGAUCCUGAAGAGCUGCGGGUUCUCCGGGUUCCUGAUGGUUCUGAUGCUGAGGCUGCAGGUCUGCUCUGGGAAACAUCAGGACUGACAUCUGACCAGAGCUUCUUCUCAAAUGAAAGCUUCUUCACUUAAAACCAUUUCAUAUCCAGAGCUGAUGAAUACCUAACAAUGCUCUAUGAUUCUUUAGAAGUGCUUAUGCUGAAUUAUAAUCUCAAUAAAGUUUUUCUGAAGAUAUU
Non-coding RNA from Trematomus bernacchii (emerald rockcod), 888 nucleotides. NCBI's taxonomy places the organism in Eukaryota, Metazoa, Chordata, Actinopteri, Perciformes, Nototheniidae. The record is from the annotation of a RefSeq genome assembly.